ACAUCGAGCGCGGCCACAAGAUCGACGAGAAUGUCGCGAGGGAGAUCAUUAAUCACCGGUCGCUGCGGCAUCCGAACAUUAUUCGGUUCAAAGAGGUUGUGCUGACGCCGACGCACCUCGCCAUUGUUAUGGAGUUUGCAGCCGGCGGGGAGCUGUUUGAGCGGAUCUGUAACGCCGGGAGGUUCAGCGAGGACGAGGCGAGGUAUUUCUUCCAGCAGCUCAUAUCCGGAGUUAGCUACUGCCAUCACUUGCAAAUUUGCCACCGUGAUCUGAAACUGGAGAACACGCUGCUUGAUGGGAGCCCGGCACCGCGUCUGAAGAUUUGCGAUUUUGGUUACUCGAAGUCCUCUCUGCUGCACUCGAGGCCUAAGUCGACGGUGGGGACACCGGCGUAUAUCGCACCUGAGGUGCUCUCCCGACGGGAGUAUGAUGGAAAGCUGGCCGACGUGUGGUCAUGUGGCGUAACUCUGUAUGUGAUGCUGGUCGGCGCCUACCCUUUUGAGGA
This 505-nucleotide unclassified non-coding RNA is filed under the name Hevea brasiliensis (rubber tree). The record is from RNAcentral. Lineage: Eukaryota; Viridiplantae; Streptophyta; Magnoliopsida; Malpighiales; Euphorbiaceae.